CCCUAUGUCGCUCCGAUUCGUCCCUCCCCCCCACSCCCGAUCCAAUCCCGCACACACACUCCCCCGCACUCCCCUUUCCCCGGCCCCGGCCCUGAGGUUUGAAACCACCCCCGCCACCCGCCGGCUAUGUCCCCCCGACCCUUCGAUGCCUCUGCUGGUCGGGACUCCCCCCCACCCCCGUCCCCAUGUCAUGUCGUCUGUCAAAAAACUUGGCAAAGGCAUGGAAACUUGGAAGCUUCACCCAAGCCACGUGACGCGUGCCACGGGGCCUUGCAUGGUGCCCGUGAGCCAAGCCAAGGUGGCACGGGGCCUUGCUUGGUGCCCACGAGCCAAGCCAAGGUGGCACGAGGCCUUGCAUCGUGCCCGCCCACGAGCCAAGCCAAGGUGCCACGGGGCCUUGCUUGGUGCUCGUGAGCCAAGCCAAGGUGGCACGGGGCCUUGCAUGGUGCCCUCCCGCGAGCCAAGCCAAGGUGCCACGGGGCCUUGCUUGGUGCCCGCGAGCCAAGUCAAGGUGGCACGAGGCCUUGCAUGGUGCCCGCCCGCGAGCCAAGCCAAGGUGGCACGGGGCCUUGCUUGGUGCCCGGGAGCCAAGCCAAGGUGGCACGAGGCCUUGCAUGGUGCCCGCCCACGAGCCAAGCCAAGGUGCCACGGGGCCUUGCUUGGUGCCCGCCCGCGAGCCAAGCCAAGACACGCGAUGCAUGCCACGGGGCCUUGCUUGGUGCCCGCCCGCGAGCCAAUCCAAGACACACGACGCGUGCCAUAGGGCCUUGCUUGGUGCCCGCGAGCCAAGCCAAGGUGGCACGUGGCCUUGCAUGGUGCCCGCCCGCGAGCCAAGCCAAGGUGCCACGGGGCCUUGCAUGGUGCCCGCCCGCGAGCCAAGCCAAGGUGCCACGGGGCCUUGCUUGGUGCCCGCGAGCCAAGCCAAGGUGGCACGAGGCCUUGCAUGGUGCCCGCCCGCGAGCCAAGCCAAGGUGGCACGAGGCCUUGCAUGCUGCCCACCCGCGAGCCAAGCCAAGGUGCCACGGGGCCUUGCUUGGUGCCCGCGAGCCGAGCCAAGACACGCGACGCGUGCCAUGUGGCCUUGCUUGGUGCCCACGAGCGGAGCCAAGACACAUGACGCGUGCCACCUCCCGUGCCACGAUAGCUACAAUGACCCUCGAUAUGGUGCUAGAGGCUGUGCUAGGACACGUGACCCAUGCCAUGAUGCGUGCCACGGCCCGAGGCACGACACGGCUCGCGUGCCACGACCCCCAUGCCAUGGUGCCACGACACCUGUAAUGACCCAUUCCAUGGUGGUAGAGGCUGUGCCAAGACACAUGGUGCGUGCCCUAUCUGGAUUUCGACCCUGAUGCCUUGACAAGGUUCCGGAUUAUGGUCUAUUGCUAAUCACGGAAUGUUAUUAAUCCAUGGAUUCAUGUUGCAAAGGUUGUUCACUAUUUUUUUUUAUAUGGUUUUUUUAAGUAAAAAAAAUUUGAAAUAACUUUUGUUUGGACAAUCCUUGGAUUCUUUUUUAAGAUUUCUUUUUCCCAUAUCAAAUACAAUUUUUAAAAAUAUCUAAAUGAAUUUUUACUUAUUUUCCCCCAUUUUUCUAAGUAAAAAAGCUAAAAAAAAAUAUUUUUUGGCCAAGAGAGCUUCACCAAUCCUUGAAUUCGUCUUCCAUAUAUUUUUCCCAUGUGAAAUACAUUUUUUAAAAAUAUUUACACUAUUUUUUCCUCAUUUUUACUAUUUUUUAAGUAAAAAAUUCGAAAAAAAAAAUUAUUUUUGAGAGAUAAGUUGCACUAAUUCGUGGAUUCCUAUUCCAGAUAUUUUUCCCAUGUGAAAUACAAUUUUUAAAAAUAUUUUCACUAUUUUUUGGUAUUUUUUACUAUUUUUCCCUAUUUUUCCCUAUUUUUCGGACAAAAAAAUUAAAAUAAAUAUUUUCUGGGCCGAAUUUUUUUUUUUUUUUUUCCUUGGGUUCAUAUAAUUAUUAUAAAGAGAUUCAGCAAAAAAAACGGAAUUAAAAACUCUUUUUUCAUUAAAAAAUGGCAUUAUGUCUCCUCAAGCAUGGGUGAUGUCUCCUCAAGGCAUUUCCAAAACGGCCCAAAAUGCUCUUUAAGGGGGGGGUGCUGUCCUCAAUGGGCUGGCAGCACCACCCGCCCAGGCACGCUGCAGCGCGUGCCGCCCUUGGCGUGCAGGCCGCCCAUGCCACCCUAGGCAUGGCGCCCCCGCAUAUGCCACCCUCAAGCCCACGACACGCUAAUGCGAAGAGAGCACGCCCGCGACACUGUGGGGAGCCCUCGCACGCAGCAGCAGUCACCCCGUGACCCGCACACGCUGCACCCCGGACGCGUCCCAUGCCCCCCAUGCGGACACGCCCUCCCCCCCAUGCAACGGGUGCCCUCCCCGCGCACUCGGCCCCGUCCCUCCUCGUCUCGGCUCGACCCCUCGAGCGAGCAUGUUGCCUCGGAAAAACGUGCCAAUGGCCAAAGUCGCGGCUCACCCCGGGGGGCUCACCCAUGCCUCCCGCCCGACGCUGCCCAUCAAAAGGCACACGGACGCCCCCUCCCCCCAUGCAACGAGUGCCCUCCCAGUGCACUCGGCCCCGCCUCGGCUCGCCGAGGAGCCCUCGAGCGAGCAUGUUGCCUCGAAAAAGCUUGCCAAUGGCCAACGUCGCGGCUCACCCCGGGGGCUCACCCAUGCCUCCCGCCCGACGUUGCCCAUCGAAAGGCACACGGAUGCCCCUCCCCCCCAUGCAACGAGAGCCCUCCCCGGGUGCUCGGCCCCCCGUCUCGGCUCGUCGAGGAGCCCUCAAGCCCUCGAGCGAGCAUGUUGCCUCGGAAAGGAGCCAKACGCAUCGUCGCCAUGCCUAUAUCGGUCCUACGAAGGCUUCACUCGUUGCUCCCGUGUGCUGGUCAGGAGUCGCCUCYGGACGAGUCGCGGUUCGACGCGUGAUGCCGUGUCGUAGUGAACCUGAUGGCRUGUGAGUGGUGUUUGGGUCGCGUGGGUCGGCAGGCUCCUUGCUCGUGCAACGAACUGUCGCCGCACCCCCCUCUUCAUUCUAAGCCUCAAGCGCUGCAACAAGCCUUGGGCGUCGYGAUGCCGUGGUUCCUGUGUUGCCUUCCUAACGGAUGGAAUUGUCCCUCGAACGUUGCCUAUCUCCGCCCGGCUCCCGCUCACGCGGUGCGGGCGGACCUCGAAAGCGGUCGCCGCGUCCCAUGGUCGCCCCACGCAUGCGCACGCAUGAGAGGGGUCGAGCAUGGCCCGCGACGGCCGCUCGUGCUCUCGGAUGCGGAACCUUAAAACGAGCGUGGGGUCCCUCGGGAUCCCGUASUCGCUCGAGCUAAGCGUUCGUCGCUAGACGCGUACGACGGCCGUCCCCGUCUUUGCCCUCCCGUCCCGCUCCCCUCGGGGGGCGUCGGUCAGGCGCAUGCGGUGCCGGCGUCGCACAGGAAUGC
RNAcentral lists this unclassified non-coding RNA (3434 nucleotides) under Vitis californica. Its description in RNAcentral is "partial external transcribed spacer". Lineage: Eukaryota; Viridiplantae; Streptophyta; Magnoliopsida; Vitales; Vitaceae. The record is from RNAcentral.